This is a long non-coding RNA of Pimephales promelas (fathead minnow), 540 nucleotides long. RefSeq lists it as uncharacterized. The record is from RefSeq and is a predicted model, not a curated record. NCBI's taxonomy places the organism in Eukaryota, Metazoa, Chordata, Actinopteri, Cypriniformes, Leuciscidae.
CUUAUUUUACAAUAAAACAUUGCAAUUUAAAACCUGCUGUUAUGUCACAGCAAGGUCUGUAAUAUCACAGCAACACAGUGAAAAAAAAUAAGGAUUUCACAGCAGCAAACAGUAUUAUUGCAGUGAAAUACUGUAGCCUAUGCCCUGGGAAGUCAUGUGACAUAACCGAACUGUUGCAGGCUCCGUCGUCUCCCGCCGCCUCUUCUAUUUCGGGCUUAACGGAGAAGGUGCUUCCUGGGCAUCAAUCCCGAAAGAGGAUCGAAGACCAAGAAGAGGACCACAAUGAACCCUCAUAUUAGCACCCUAUUGAGGAAACUAAUUGACUUUGAGUGGGCGUCAUAGUGUUUUUUAGCAGUGGUAACGUUACUUGUCAGGCUCCACAGUUAAAAGUUUGCACAAUGUCUCUGCAUUUUCUGCAUUUUAAAAUGGCUUUUAUGAAAACAAUCUUAAAGUUGAAAUUCUAAAAAAAAUUAAUUUCUUAAAUUCUUGCUGUACAUUGAAACAUAUGUGUUAAUAAAUAUGCCAUUGGGCUAACAUUGA